Amphiprion ocellaris (clown anemonefish) is the source of this 784-nucleotide non-coding RNA. The record is from the annotation of a RefSeq genome assembly. NCBI's taxonomy places the organism in Eukaryota, Metazoa, Chordata, Actinopteri, Pomacentridae.
UGUCACAUACAUUCAGUAUGGAAACCAAACAUAACAGAUAGUGUAUGGAAGAUGCUGUCACUGCAUUACUGGGUCAUGUUUCAUAUAUUUCUGAUCACAUUGAAAGGUGUCAACUGCCAACAACUGACUGCAGUGAAGGAUGAAGAGUCCAGUUUAGAAGGCAGCACUGUGACUCUGACCUACAAAUACUCCCAAGCUGCUACUUUUAACGACUAUUUCUUCUGGUAUCAACAACAUCCAGGAAAACCUCCAGAGUUCCUCAUGUUUCACACAGUAGCACAAACUGAAACAAAAGCUGGACUGUCUGCUACUGUGAGUGUUGAUACAAAACAAACCAGUAUGAAGAUCUCCUCUGCUGCAGUGACAGACUCUGCUGUGUACUACUGUGCUGUGAGGCCCACAGUGACAGGAAACAGCAAAACUCUGUACAAAAACCUUUGGAUCAACAGAAAACUCCACAACAUCCACUAGAGGGAGACACACUCUGUUAAAGCUCUGAUUUGUGACUUGUUGGACUGAUGACAAAGACAACAGAGAAAUGAAGCAGUAAAGAUCAGAGACAGAGCUGCUGUGGAAACACAAAACAAUUUGAUUGGUUGAACUCAACUGGAAAAAAACGUGAUGUCAGGAGGUAAUGGCCCCGCCCACUGAACUUCAGCUCAUCCACUCACAUUAUUUCUUCCUCAUUGUACUGCAGUAGAAGAUCAUUGCUCAUCUGAUGUGUCUGACUUUAAUAAAUCCAAAGACAUGUUGCUUUACCUUUCUAUUUAUUAUCUUAUCUAUU